GACGAACGCUGGCGGCGUGCUUAACACAUGCAAGUCGAACGCUGAAGCCCUUUCGGGGGUGGAUGAGUGGCGAACGGGUGAGUAACACGUGGGUAAUCUGCCCUGCACUCUGGGAUAAGCCUUGGAAACGGGGUCUAAUACCGGAUAGGACACAUCGCCGCAUGGUGUGUGUGUGGAAAGUUCCGGCGGUGCAGGUUGAGCCCGCGGCCUAUCAGCUUGUUGGUGGGGUGAUGGCCUACCAAGGCGACGACGGGUAGCCGGCCUGCGAGGGUAACCGGCCACACUGGGACUGAGACACGGCCCAGACUCCGACGGGAGGCAGCAGUGGGGAAUCUUGCGCAAUGGGCGAAAGCCUGACGCAGCAACGCCGCGUGGGGGAUGACGGCCUUCGGGUUGUAAACCUCUUUCGACCGGGACGAAGGGUGACUGACGGUACCGGUAGAAGAAGCACCGGCUAACUACGUGCCAGCCGCCGCGGUAA
Molecule: ribosomal RNA, 481 nt
Filed under: uncultured bacterium
Lineage: Bacteria
Description: partial 16S ribosomal RNA
Rfam family: Bacterial small subunit ribosomal RNA
Source: RNAcentral